AGCUUUGUGAAUCCAUGCUGAGAUUUUGUCAGACACUAACCCACAAAGGCUGAUGAGACUUCUAAGAUAAGUAGUU
Non-coding RNA from Schistosoma haematobium, 76 nucleotides. Lineage: Eukaryota; Metazoa; Platyhelminthes; Trematoda; Strigeidida; Schistosomatidae. The record is from Rfam.